Molecule: transfer RNA, 71 nt
Filed under: Heterocephalus glaber (naked mole-rat)
Lineage: Eukaryota; Metazoa; Chordata; Mammalia; Rodentia; Bathyergidae
Rfam family: tRNA
About the family: Transfer RNA (tRNA) molecules are approximately 80 nucleotides in length. Their secondary structure includes four short double-helical elements and three loops (D, anti-codon, and T loops).
Source: Rfam by way of RNAcentral
GGAAGUGUAGCUCAGCAGUAGAGCACUUGUCUGGACACAUAACACCCUGGGUUCUAUUCCCAGCACUGCCC